GAUGAACGCUGGCGGCGUGCCUAAUACAUGCAAGUCGAGCGGACGGACGCGACGCUUGCUGCUUUGAUGUUAGCGGAGGGCGGGUGUGUAACACGUGUAUCCCCUCCCUAUCUUUCUGGGAUCACUUCGGGAAACCGGCUCUAAUACCGGAGAAUAUUUUGCUCCGUAUGGUUCAAUGGAGAAAUACGGUCUUUCUGUCACUUCUCGAUGGAUCCGCGCUGCAUUAGCUAGUUGGUACGUUAACGGCUUACCAAGGCAACGAUGCGUGGCCGACGUGAGAGGGUGGUAGGCCACACUGGAACUUAGACACGGUCCAGGCGCCUGCGGGACGCAGCAGUAGCGAAUGGGCCGCAGUGGGCGAAAGCCUUACGGAGCGGCGGCGCGUGAGUGAUGGAGGCCUUCGGAGCGUGAUACUCUGUUAUUAGUUAUGAACAGAUGUGUACUGAACUGAGGAGAGCUUGACGGUACCUAAUCAGAAAGCCACGGCUAACUACGUG
Molecule: ribosomal RNA, 497 nt
Filed under: uncultured bacterium
Lineage: Bacteria
Description: partial 16S ribosomal RNA
Rfam family: Bacterial small subunit ribosomal RNA
Source: RNAcentral